RNAcentral lists this ribosomal RNA (274 nucleotides) under uncultured bacterium. RNAcentral's name for it is "partial 16S ribosomal RNA". It matches the Rfam family "Bacterial small subunit ribosomal RNA", at positions 523 to 796 of the family's 1533-position model. The record is from RNAcentral.
AUACGGGGGGGGCAAGCGUUGUUCGGAAUUACUGGGUUUAAAGGGUCCGUAGGCGGACUAUUAAGUCAGAGGUGAAAUCCCACAGCUCAACUGUGGAACUGCCUUUGAUACUGGUAGUCUUGAGUUAUAUGGAAGUAGAUAGAAUGUGUAGUGUAGCGGUGAAAUGCAUAGAUAUUACACAGAAUACCGAUUGCGAAGGCAGUCUACUACGUAUAUACUGACGCUAAGGGACGAAAGCGUGGGGAGCGAACAGGAUUAGAAACCCUAGUAGUCC